UUGUACGAGUCACUAUUGGUUUGAUAACAAUAAUGGUAGUUGUUUUAGUAUGUCAAGGAUACAUAUGUACACUAAUUGAAAAUUAGUUGAUACUAUAUAUUCAUGUCAUAUCUGAUAUAUGAAGGCAAACAGACACCCCCUGUAUUACAUUACAUUUUGACAUAGGAUUCAAUGACGUAUCAAUUCAAUCUAGGAAUGAAAAGACAGAACCUUCUUAUGGACUUAGG
Molecule: long non-coding RNA, 227 nt
Organism: Telopea speciosissima
Lineage: Eukaryota; Viridiplantae; Streptophyta; Magnoliopsida; Proteales; Proteaceae
Exons: 4
Source: RefSeq, a predicted model, not a curated record